Molecule: long non-coding RNA, 549 nt
Filed under: Trifolium pratense (red clover)
Lineage: Eukaryota; Viridiplantae; Streptophyta; Magnoliopsida; Fabales; Fabaceae
Description: long non-coding RNA (TPRA_LNC011716)
Source: RNAcentral
AAAAACAAAUCCAUUUCUUAACAGAUCCAAGAUUUAACAACAUAAAAAUCAAAAGCUCAUAACUAUUUAAACAACAAAUUACCAGAUCUACAAAUUUACAUAAACAAUCGGUUCAAAUAGCUGAAAUGAAUCAAAUAUCACAAGCACAAAUCGAUUAAUUCAUAAAUAAUAAUUCUGUAGCUCAAAUGAAUAAUAAAACACUCAAAUUAAUCAGAAAUGAACCGAAAAAACUGAGAAAACAAUCAUAUAAACUAUAAGCAAAGAUACAUAGAUCGAAUAAAAGAGAUGAGAAUCGAAGGAUGACGAUACCUGAGCUGGAAAUGAAAUGAAAAGUUGCUACUCGUUCGGAAUCCUCAGCCGCAGAGAGAGACUGAGAGAUAGAAGAACAAGUGAAGAGUGAAAUGAAAAACCUAGGGUUCCAACUAUUUUAUAGUGAGAUUUUUAGGUAUGGAUUAACGUACUUUUUGUGACGACGUCGUUUCGUUGAGGUUUCAUAACUUGAUGACAUGGGUUGGGCUCUCGUACAAGCAUGGCCCAAAUUAAUAUCCC